Long non-coding RNA from Lonchura striata (white-rumped munia), 3026 nucleotides. RefSeq lists it as uncharacterized. NCBI's taxonomy places the organism in Eukaryota, Metazoa, Chordata, Aves, Passeriformes, Estrildidae. The record is from RefSeq and is a predicted model, not a curated record.
GUCACGUGGGGCGCGCGGCGGGUCACGUGGGCGCGCGGCGCCAUUAGAGGCGUCAGGUGACGGGCGGGAAAUGGAGCCGGGCCCGGCCGCCCUCAGCCCGCUCCGCCCUGCCAUAAGCGCGACUUCGUUUGUGACCCUUCCCGGCUUCACACAGUUCUGCAAACUCUUUUCAGCAUAAUGUUUUUACAUGUAAUGACGUUUUCCUGUUCGCUGCUUCCCGUAUAAAUGUAAAUAAACUUUGUAGGGGAGGUAAAAUCUCAGCUGAAGGGCUUCAUGCACAAGGAUCUUAACUCCAGUUCUGCCCUUUCCAGCAGUUCUCUAAUGACCCUGACAGAAGUACUAACCCUGGUUACUACUGACAUUUUCUCUGCCAGCAUCUCCGCUGCUUCGCGUCUGUCCGCACCCAUGGCCCCGGCGAUGCCUCGCUUCUCCCAACUCGCCGAGGUCGUUUCUGGCAUCCCGCCUUCUCCCGGCCCUUCCUGCUCCGACCCGGCUCCUUUGCCGUCGGCCGAGCCGCCUCAGUGGUGCCCGGGGCGGGGAGCGCAGUCCCGGCUCCGGCUGCGCCCCCGGCUGCCCCAGGGCUCCGGGAGCCACCCAGCCUCGGCUGAUGGAGGGAAACCUGUCAGGGACAAGCACCAAAAUCCAACAAACUCGCCUCUGUCUUUAACAGGCAUUCGACUCUACAGCUCGUGGUUUGUAUAUUUGAGUGGGAUAAUGCUUCUGAUGUAUUAAUUUUUACAUGUCUAUGAUGGUUUUUGUUUCGUGAUGCGUUCUGCACUUCAGACACACAGCAUUCUUUUUCUCAGAAAUUUCAGACACCAGUAAAUGCAAGUGUUUCAAUUUUCUGAAACCAAGUACAGUAUUAUUUUAAAGGUUCUUUUAACUCUAAAAAUGAAAAUUUGCUUACAGUUCUGUUACAUACAUAUAUAACUCUGUCAUUAGCAAAUGCAAAACAAAUUAUUAUGGAGAAUGUAGCUUAAACACAGCCUGCCAUACUAAAUUUAAUUAAAAACUGGUGUAUAUCUAAAUUAUUUUCUACCUUCGUGGGAUGUGUCUGAUCAAAAAGGAAACCAACCAGGCAGGCCAGGAAAUUGUGGAAGGACUGUCAGCUCUUUUGAGCACUGUGUUCAAAUAUAUGUCUAAUCCAAUUAAACCCGAGUAAAUGGUCAGAGGCUACAGCAUGCUCUCCCAACAACUCCUCCCAUGGCAGAACUGGGUGCAGUGUUUCAGUGAAGCUCUGCAGUUGCUGAGAUAGGCAGAGCAGAUGGGAGUGGUAUCAAUCAGUUUUCACCCUACUUAAAUACACUGCCAUUACCUGCACUUAAUGUUGGGUCUUUUGCCUUAAUAAGGUGACAUAAAAGCCUCAAUUUUGGAAAGCACAUAAACAUGUUUUAAGAAAAUUAUGAGUUCCAUGAUCAAAAUGAAGGGGGAGAAGAGGUGAUACUUACUAAAAAAUGAUAGCAGAUAAUGAGAAGCAGAAGGAAAAGACCUUUUUAUUUUGAACAGAGAAGAGUUUGUGUAAGCAGAAACAGGAAUAUUAAGAAAAAGCUAAGCCAUUAGCUAAGUCAGUGUAAAUACGUCAUGGUUUGGACUGUCUCCAUCUUCAGUCAAGUUCAGGAGUCACAUGAAUGAGUUCAUCCUACAAUCAGGAUCUAGAAAUUCCCUGCACUGUUACUCGUUUCUGCUUUAACUGUUAAUUCUUGUUCUGUAAAUAGGUCUCUUGAAAAGGGAACAUUGUACCACAGGGCCCCUGAGCCCUGGGAUCAGCAGUGCUGGGUCAGGCUGAGGACAAACAGCAUGGAGCUGCUCUAUGGUGCCCCUCUGUAGUGGGGGUGGGAGGCAUCUCAGAUCUUUGUGCUAAUUUAAAACUGAAGCCACAUCUCCUAAAAUCAUCAUAAUUAUACCGUUUGUGUGAUUUGCAGCCGUGGCUUUCUUGGUAGCUGUUGUACAAGUAUGUCAGCAUGAACCUGAACCUCCCCAUCAUCCCAAUCAAACACUGGCAUUAAGUACAUACAGUUUUACCAGAAUUAUUUAAAAAGACCUCAAGCCUUUGUGCGGGGGUGAUGAGAGAGAGAAAUAAGACAUGUUAAAAUGUUUUAUAAAGAUAUAUUUUAACUUCUAAGGCACUCAGGAACCAUGGUGAUGGUUCUUGAAAUUGCUUAGAUAUGAGCUCUGAUCCACAGGGAACUAUCCUAAGAUUCAGAAAGAGCAUCAGCUGGUAAUAACUUCUAGUCAGUACCUACCUGGGCUUGACUGAACAGGUGACACACAUCAGAAAUCCCUUGAGACUCAUCUUCAUGUGAAUGACCACUGCUUUCGCAGUGUAAAGCGACCUUAAUGAAAAUGAGGCUAUUGCUGUAAUCUUGCACUGCUGGGAGGUUAAAAACAAUCUCUCAUCCACACUGCUGGGCCUUGGUGCCAGAAAAAAUUUACUUUCCUUCCCAGUAUUUCUUUUUUUCUGCAUUCAACAUUCUGGCAGACUUUGCAUGGAGCUUAGACACCAUGGAGUUAAGAUGAGAAAACAGAUUGCUGUGGUUGUUCUGUGCAUGCCAAGGGGAGCACAAAAGAUUAUUAAUUGCAGAAUGAUUCUGUCAGUAACAGCCUUGAUCCUGCACUGGGUAUCAUUCUGUCACUGUCAGAACCUGUCACUGUUGUAGGAGAUGUCUUGUAUUAUCUAUCAUGUUCUGGUUAGUUUUGCUGUUCACAAAUACAGUUUGAAAACACAGUUGCAAUUUCAAAUCAUUUUCAUAUUCUUUAGUUUUGAACAAGUAAUUUACAAUCAUACUCUAAAUAUUUUUAAAGGGAUCUAUUUUACAGCAACCUUAAAAGCUUAUAAUAUAAAUCUAGCUAUUUUAAUUAAUAUACUAACAUUUUGUAGCUGUCUGUAUAAAAUUAAGUUGCUUUUAUUUUUCAACUGCAGUUGUAGCAGUAUCCAGGCACUGUCCUGCAGUUCAGGAAUGGAAAUUUCCCAGCCUCAAAGCACACUCUGUCUCAGUCAGCUGCAAUAAAACUCUGAGUGAUUUCAA